GAUGAACGCUGGCUACAGGCUUAACACAUGCAAGUCGAGGGGAAACGACGGGGAAGCUUGCUUCCCCGGGCGUCGACCGGCGCACGGGUGAGUAACGCGUAUCCAACCUGCCUCUGACUGAGGGAUAACCCGUCGAAAGUCGGCCUAAUACCUCAUGGUAUCGUCUGCGGGCAUCCAACGACGAUUAAAGAUUUCAUCGGUCAGGGAUGGGGAUGCGUCUGAUUAGCUUGUUGGCGGGGUAACGGCCCACCAAGGCUACGAUCAGUAGGGGUUCUGAGAGGAAGGUCCCCCACAUUGGAACUGAGACACGGUCCAAACUCCUACGGGAGGCAGCAGUGAGGAAUAUUGGGCGAUGGGCGAGAGCCUGAACCAGCCAAGUAGCGUGCAGGAAGACGGCCCUAUGGGUUGUAAACUGCUUUUAUGCGGGGAUAAAGUGAGGGACGUGUCCCUCAUUGCAGGUACCGCAUGAAUAAGGACCGGCUAAUUCCGUG
RNAcentral lists this ribosomal RNA (491 nucleotides) under uncultured bacterium. RNAcentral describes it as "partial 16S ribosomal RNA". It matches the Rfam family "Bacterial small subunit ribosomal RNA", at positions 28 to 507 of the family's 1533-position model. The record is from RNAcentral.